This 496-nucleotide ribosomal RNA is filed under the name uncultured bacterium. Its description in RNAcentral is "partial 16S ribosomal RNA". It matches the Rfam family "Bacterial small subunit ribosomal RNA", at positions 29 to 507 of the family's 1533-position model. The record is from RNAcentral.
AUGCACGCUGGCGGCGUGCCUAAUACAUGCAAGUCGAGCGAACAGACGAGGAGCUUGCUCCUCUGACGUUAGCGGCGGACGGGUGAGUAACACGUGGAUAACCUACCUAUAAGACUGGGAUAACUUCGGGAAACCGGAGCUAAUACCGGAUAAUAUAUUGAACCGCAUGGUCCAAUAGUGAAAGACGGUUUUGCUGUCACUUAUAGAUGGAUCCGCGCCGCAUUAGCUAGUUGGUAAGGUAACGGCUUACCAAGGCAACGAUGCGUAGCCGACCUGAGAGGGUGAUCGGCCACACUGGAACUGAGACACGGUCCAGACUCCUACGGGAGGCAGCAGUAGGGAAUCUUCCGCAAUGGGCGAAAGCCUGACGGAGCAACGCCGCGUGAGUGAUGAAGGUCUUCGGAUCGUAAAACUUUGUUAUUAGGGAAGAACAAAUGUGUAAGUAACUAUGCACGUCUUGACGGUACCUAAUCAGAAAGCCACGGCUAACUACGUG